This is a long non-coding RNA of Megalobrama amblycephala (Wuchang bream), 833 nucleotides long. RefSeq lists it as uncharacterized. Lineage: Eukaryota; Metazoa; Chordata; Actinopteri; Cypriniformes; Xenocyprididae. The record is from RefSeq and is a predicted model, not a curated record. The transcript is spliced from 3 exons.
UGAUACCUUUUAUCGCAUGUCGCGUCUGGUUAGGACACGGGCUUGACUGGUAACGCUACUAUCUGGCUCAUGUUCGCACCGCGCCACCGCUAAACUGUUCCAAAAAGAGUCAUGAACGCGACGGACUCGAGGAUGAAGAAAGCGGUCAGGUGGAGCAGAGGGAACGUUCUGCGAAAUGUAGCAAAAUGAGUGACCUGUUCAGGGCUUCAAUGGCAGGUUUUCUCAGGCCAGGAGAGAGUUUCAGAUUAGAACAUCUGGAGUUUCAUGUCGAAUCGCCAUCAUUCUCCCACCGAGACCCGAGUGAAACCAUUAGGCCAAUGAAGACAGAAGAGCAAGUUUGACUGCGUCGACACACACUGUGUUCCGAAGGAGGAAAGAGGAUGAGUGAGCACAGACAUGAACAAGUGACAGAUCUAGGGACAGACAGACUCAGUCCCAGAGUAGAAGAAGAGAUCUGACAAUGAUAAUCAGGUCAGUGUGCCGGCUGGGACGCGUUCCACUCCAUCCGUCCCCUGAGAACCAAUCAUUGGUUUGUUGCCUCUCUGUGGAUACAGAAGAGAGAGAGACCAGCGACUUCUGUCUGCAGCAAUCUGUUACUUUGGGUGGAUUAUUUCUAAUGCUGACAAGCAGCUCCCCACAGUAUUUGCUCCAAAUGUGUUUAAACACUUUUAUUUUGGUUUUGUUAUUUUUAUGGAAUAUCAGAUUAAAUCUAAUAUAAUUAUGUAACUUUUAAAGCCAGUGAUUCUCAAGGACAGAUAGUCAUCAUCUCAAUAUAAUUUAUAGAAACUAAAUGUUAAUUACAUUUGUAUUUUGGAAAUUUUAAAUAUUUUUAA